CCGACGGUGAGGGGCGAAAGCUGGGGGAGCAAACCGGAUUAGAUACCCGGGUAGUCCCAGCUGUAAACGAUGCGCGUUAGGUGUGUCAGUGACCACGUGUCACUGAUGUGCCGAAGGGAAACCGUGAAACGCGCCGCCUGGGGAGUACGGUCGCAAGGCUGAAACUUAAAGGAAUUGGCGGGGGAGCACCACAACGGAUGGAGCCUGCGGUUUAAUCGGACUCAACGCCGGAAAUCUCACCGGAUAA
This 247-nucleotide ribosomal RNA is filed under the name uncultured archaeon. Its description in RNAcentral is "partial 16S ribosomal RNA". It matches the Rfam family "Archaeal small subunit ribosomal RNA", at positions 691 to 937 of the family's 1478-position model. The record is from RNAcentral.